AGCGAACGCUGGCGGCAGGCCUAACACAUGCAAGUCGAACGAACCUUUCGGGGUUAGUGGCGGACGGGUGAGUAACACGUGGGAACGUGCCUUUAGGUUCGGAAUAACUCAGGGAAACUUGUGCUAAUACCGAAUGUGCCCUUCGGGGGAAAGAUUAAUCGCCUUUAGAGCGGCCCGCGUCUGAUUAGCUAGUUGGUUGAGGUAAUGGCUCACCAAGGCGACGAUCAGUAGCUGGUCUGAGAGGAUGAUCAGCCACAUUGGGGCUGAGACACGGCCCAAACUCCUACGGGAAGCAGCAGUGGGGAAUCUUGCGCAAUGGGCGAAAGCCUGACGCAGCCAUGCCGCGUGAAUGAUGAAGGUCUUAGGAUUGUAAAAUUCUUUCACCGGGGACGAUAAUGACGGUACCCGGAGAAGAAGCCCCGGCUAACUUCGUG
This 434-nucleotide ribosomal RNA is filed under the name uncultured bacterium. Its description in RNAcentral is "partial 16S ribosomal RNA". It matches the Rfam family "Bacterial small subunit ribosomal RNA", at positions 29 to 507 of the family's 1533-position model. The record is from RNAcentral.